AAAAGAGCUCAAUGAAUGACAGCCACUCUUUCCUUUGCUUUGUAUUUUUGAAAGUAUGUUUGGUAAAAUCUGGAUAAUUCAGGACAUUGGCAUACAGUGCCUGACCUGGAAGCUGAUCUCCAGGAGCUGUCUCAGUCAAAGACUGGGGGUGAAUGUGGAAAUGGUCCUGAUGACCAGGGGAAGAUUCUGCCAAAAUCAGAACAAUUUAAAAUGCCAGAAGGAGGUGACAGGCAACCACAGGUUUAAAUGAAGACAAG
This 257-nucleotide long non-coding RNA is filed under the name Homo sapiens (human). RNAcentral describes it as "HSALNT0282703". The record is from RNAcentral. Lineage: Eukaryota; Metazoa; Chordata; Mammalia; Primates; Hominidae.